AACGGCCGCGGUACUCUGACCGUGCAAAGGUAGCAUAAUCUUGCCUUAUAAUUGAAGGCUGGAAUGAAUGGUUUGACAAGAGUGCAACUGUCUCUUUAUGAUUCAAUAGAAUUUUAUUUUGGGAUGAAAAAGUCCUAAUAUAAUUAAAAGACAAGAAGACCCUAUCGAGCUUGAAAUAAAUUAACAAAAGAAAAAUUUAUUAGACAAAAAAAAAAUUGUGUUGUUAAACAUUUUGGUUGGGGCCAAGCUAAGGAGUAAAAAAAGCCUCCUUUAUGUUAAGAUAAACUAACAAGUACUGAUCCAAACUUUUUGAUCAAAGAAAAUAGUUACCGUAGGGAUAACAGCAUUAUCUUUUUUGAGAGUUCCUAUCAAAAAAGGUUUGUGACCUCGAUGUUGGACCAGAAUAUCCUGAAGAUGCA
RNAcentral lists this ribosomal RNA (419 nucleotides) under Californiconus californicus. RNAcentral's name for it is "partial 16S ribosomal RNA". It matches the Rfam family "Bacterial large subunit ribosomal RNA", at positions 1926 to 2557 of the family's 2925-position model. Lineage: Eukaryota; Metazoa; Mollusca; Gastropoda; Neogastropoda; Conidae. The record is from RNAcentral.